Molecule: ribosomal RNA, 253 nt
Filed under: uncultured bacterium
Lineage: Bacteria
Description: partial 16S ribosomal RNA
Rfam family: Bacterial small subunit ribosomal RNA
Source: RNAcentral
UACGUAGGUGGCAAGCGUUGUUCGGAAUUACUGGGCGUAAAGCGCGCGUAGGCGGCUCUUCAAGUCAGGCGUGAAAGCCCCGGGCUUAACUCGGGAACUGCGCUUGAUACUGUCGAGCUAGAGUGUGGAAGGGGCGAUUGGAAUUCCGUGUGUAGCGGUGAAAUGCGUAGAUAUACGGAGGAACACCAGAGGCGAAGGCGGAUCGCUGGGCCAACACUGACGCUGAUGUGCGAAAGCUAGGGGAGCAAACGGG